CUCCUGCUUCUCAUCCUCCUGCUCGCCAGUCUUUGAUUCGAUCUUAUCUGUAGCUUUAUGGGAAGUAAACUUACCAUCUUUGCUUCUUUUGUGGAUUUUCGAAAUGAUUCCAUGAAUACAUAGGAGGAUUCCUUGAAGUUUUGCUUGAUCUUAGUGGGCGGAUACUAAUAUUUUGACUCUUGUUCUUCCCAUUAAGUUAGCUUUCAUUCGUUUUUGGUAUGGAGAUUUGAUGCGUGCAGCUACUGACUUUGAAGGUUCUUUUCAGAAUUUGAAUUGUUGAUUUGACUCCGCUUUUUGGAUGUUUUGUUCGUGUCGAAGUUGUAGGUUUCUUUUUGGGCCUUCUGGUUCUUGUCUUUGUUUUGACAAUUGGUAGUUCGUGACGUCUUAGGCUUGAGUCGCUUGACGACUACAUGAUCUAUAAAAGUUAGGUUUUGCAGGGGCUAUUUCGGCUCAAUGAUUAUGGAUUCCGGUCUUCAGGAAUUUUCCGGCAUGAUGAGCGGAUGGAGCUAUGAUGAUUCGUUCUCUGAUCAAAACAUUUUUCGGGCUAUUGGAUUGCGAGAACCGCAGCCUUAUCUAGGUUUUAGUAACAGUGGGGAAUUGCCCCAAAUGUCCUCUGACACCAACACAAGGGCCAAUCCCACAUCCAGCACCAGCACGAUCACUGAGGGAGAUAGCCCGGAAGAUGGUGAUAUCUUCUGUUCAGACAUGUCCCUUAGCUAUAUUAGCAAAAUUCUCAUGGAGGAAGAUAUAGAUGGAAAGGUCAGCACUUAUAAGGAAGAGUCAGCCCUUAGAGAUGCAGAGAAACCCUUCUAUGACAUCCUUAGCCAGAAGUACCCACCAUCUCCAGAGCGAUCACCGCUUGAAGUUCAGCAAAGCUUGGCGAAUCUCGAUUUUACCGACAAUCAUGAAAAUGGUAACUUAUGUGCUAGCAGUGGUACAAGUAAAGCUAAUGGCUUUGUUGGCAAUAACUUUAUCUCUGACUCCAACAAUGGCCACGAUUUGAGUUCACGGUCUAGUUCCUUUAGUAAUUUGUUUCCAUCUCCAUCAAACUCUUCAAACAGUAUCAGCAGCGAAAAGAAACCUGUUGUUGAUGUUUCCAUGUCUCCCAGUCUGUUCUUCAAAAGCAUGCCAGCGUGGCAUUUCAAGAAAGGAAUUGAAGAAGCGAGCAAGUUCCUUCCUAGUAAUGAUAAAUUGGCAAUCAAUUUAGAUGUUUCAUCAUCACAGCUACUGAGAGUAGAUAGGCCAUUCAUUACAAAGGCAAAGCUGGAGGAUAGAGAAUCUCUCUUAUAUGGAUUUAGAGGUCGUAAAAAUCCAAGCCGAGAUGACCUGGAUUUGGUAGAGGGAAGGAGCAAUAAGCAGUCAGCUGUUUUCUAUGAGGGAGAGGUGAGGUCAGAAAUGUUUGACAUGAUUUUGCUUUGCCAGAGAGGCAAAUGCCAAAAGAACAUAUCCGCCCUAAGGGAAGAAAAGCAGAAUGAAGCUAUCAAAAUUGCACAGAAUUGUUCCUCAAAAGGAUCAAAUGGUGGCAAGACACAAGGAAAGAAACAAACUAAGAAAGAAGUGGUGGAUCUUAGAACUCUUCUUAUACAUUGUGCUCAAGCAGUGGCAGCAGAUGACCGCCAAACUGCUGAUGAACUAUUGAAGCAGAUUAGACAACAUUCUUCCCCGGAUGGAGAUGCAACUCAGAGGCUGGCAUAUUGCUUUGCAGAUGGUCUUGAGGCCCGAUUGGCUGGUACUGGAAGUCAGAUUUAUCAUGCCCUUGUGGCUAAAAGGGCAACUGCCACAGAUAUAUUGAAGGCCUAUCAUCUAUAUCUUGCUGCAUGUCCUUUCAAGAGAAUUUCAUACUUUUUUGCUAAUCAGACAAUCCUUAAUGUGGCAGAUAAGGCAUCCAAAGUGCACAUCAUAGACUUUGGUAUUUAUUUUGGAUUUCAAUGGCCAUGCCUUAUCCAGCGUCUCUCAACUAGGGAUGGAGGCCCUCCAAGUCUGCGGAUAACUGGUAUUGAUGUACCGCAACCAGGUUUCCGUCCCACAGAGAGAAUAGAAGAGACAGGGUGUAGGUUAGCAGAUUAUGCCAAGAGUUUUAAUAUCCCUUUUGAGUAUCAGGCUAUCGCUUCUAAAUGGGAAAAUAUUCAGGUCGAGGAUCUUCACAUUAAUAAAGAUGAGGUUGUGGUUGUCAAUUGCCUAUACCGCUUCAGAAAUCUGGUCGAUGAGACUGUGGUUGUAGACAGCCCUAGGAAUAGGGUCCUGAACAUGAUAAGGAGGAUGAACCCUGAUGUUUUUAUACAUGGAGUAGUGAAUGGGUCCUACAGUGCUCCUUUCUUCGUCACACGCUUCCGAGAAGCUCUGUUCCACUAUUCUGCUUUAUUCGACAUGCUCGAAACAAAUGUAGCACGCCACAAUGAACAGAGGCUGUUGAUUGAGAGGGAUCUCUUUGGCAGAGAUGCUCUUAAUGUUAUAGCAUGUGAAGGAUCAGAAAGGGUCGAAAGACCCGAGACUUAUAAGCAGUGGCAGGCUAGAAAUCUCAGGGCUGGGUUUGAACAGCUCCCACUCAACCCUGACAUUGUGAAGAAAGCGAAGCAUAAGGUGAAAACCAACUACCACAGGGAUUUUGUUAUCGGUGAAGAUAAUCGGUGGUUGAUUCAGGGGUGGAAGGGAAGAAUCAUUUAUGCAAUAUCGACAUGGAAGCCCAAUGAUGCUUAGUAUCAGAAUCUUAAGAUAUUCAUGAAGCUGUACAUGCAUUAAUCAGGAGAUUAAGUUAGUUUUGCACAUACAAGCAAUUCAACAUGAUUCAUCUCAACGAACAUAUGACCAGAUUCUCUGACUUACAAAACCUAAUGAGCAACUUGGAGCUGCUGAUAACUGAGAGGGAGGACACAGUUGGAUUGUUUCUAGAUAACAGACAAAGGAUAUGCUAAUUAUGACCACCAGCGAUUUGCAAGCUGUUGUUUACACAUGGUGGAUCUCUCAUUGUUUAAAUUAAGCAUUCAUGCCCAUGGUUGUAACAGAGGACACGCACUAAUAACUAAUCCCUGUAUUUAAUUAUUGAUCCUAGUGCACUUUGCUGGCUUUGCUUGUCGUUGAAUAA
This is an RNA transcript of Zingiber officinale, 3082 nucleotides long. It is a transcript of the gene named scarecrow-like protein 9, with no coding region annotated. The record is from RefSeq and is a predicted model, not a curated record. The transcript is spliced from 2 exons. NCBI's taxonomy places the organism in Eukaryota, Viridiplantae, Streptophyta, Magnoliopsida, Zingiberales, Zingiberaceae.